RNAcentral lists this ribosomal RNA (520 nucleotides) under uncultured Glomus. Its description in RNAcentral is "SSU rRNA". It matches the Rfam family "Eukaryotic small subunit ribosomal RNA", at positions 569 to 1091 of the family's 1831-position model. The record is from RNAcentral. Lineage: Eukaryota; Fungi; Glomeromycota; Glomeromycetes; Glomerales; Glomeraceae.
AGCAGCCGCGGUAAUUCCAGCUCCAAUAGCGUAUAUUAAAGUUGUUGCAGUUAAAAAGCUCGUAGUUGAAUUUCGAGAUCAAUUUGUCGGUCGUGCCUCGGUACGUACUGGCAUUAUUGAUUUCUCCCUUCUGAAGAACCGCGAUGUCAUUAAUUUGGUGUCGUGGGGAAUCAGGACUGUUACUUUGAAAAAAUUAGAGUGUUUAAAGCAGGCGCACGCUUGAAUACAUUAGCAUGGAAUAAUGAAAUAGGACGUUUGAUUCUAUUUUGUUGGUUUCUAGGAUCGACGUAAUGAUUAAUAGGGAUAGUUGGGGGCAUUAGUAUUCAAUUGUCAGAGGUGAAAUUCUUGGAUUUAUUGAAGACUAACUACUGCGAAAAGCAUUUGCCAAGGAUGUUUUCAUUAAUCAAGAACGAAAGUUAGGGGAUCGAAGACGAUCAGAUACCGUCGUAGUCUUAACCAUAAACUAUGCCGACUAGGGAUCGGAUGAUGUUAAUUUUUAAUGACUCAUUCGGCGCCUUAC